Long non-coding RNA from Lytechinus variegatus (green sea urchin), 213 nucleotides. RefSeq lists it as uncharacterized. The transcript has 2 exons. The record is from RefSeq and is a predicted model, not a curated record. Lineage: Eukaryota; Metazoa; Echinodermata; Echinoidea; Temnopleuroida; Toxopneustidae.
AAGCGGGGCAAGCCAGCCUCAACCUACCCAAAUCCAGAGAGACGGUAGAAGACAUGCCAGAAGGGCAAGCAAGACAACACAUAUCACAAAUUGUCAGGAAAGACCUCCAAGACAAGGGCCUUUCGAGAUCGACUGCAGACAUUAUCCUUGCUGCCUGGAGGCCCUCAACAACUAAGCAGUAUGCUACCUACAUUAACCAGUGGUUGGACUUUU